AUGGCUCAGGAUGAACGCUAGCUACAGGCUUAACACAUGCAAGUCGAGGGGCAUCGAGAGGAAAGCUUGCUUCCUUGUCGGCGACCGGCGCACGGGUGAGUAACGCGUAUCCAACCUUCCCCUUAGUAGGGCAUAGCCCGGCGAAAGUCGGAUUAAUACCCUAUGUUUUCCGAUGAGGACAUCUGAGCUGGAAUAAAGAUUUAUCGCUAAGGGAUGGGGAUGCGUCUGAUUAGGUAGUCGGCGGGGUAACGGCCCACCGAGCCAACGAUCAGUAGGGGUUCUGAGAGGAAGGUCCCCCACAUUGGUACUGAGACACGGACCAAACUCCUACGGGAGGCAGCAGUGAGGAAUAUUGGUCAAUGGGCGAGAGCCUGAACCAGCCAAGUAGCCGUGCAGGAUGACGGCCCUAUGGGUUGUAAACUGCUUUUAUCGGGGGAUAAAGUGAGGGACGCGUCCCUUUUUGUAGGUACCCGAUGAAUAAGGACCGGCUAAUUCCGUGCCAGCAGCAGC
This 510-nucleotide ribosomal RNA is filed under the name uncultured bacterium. RNAcentral describes it as "bacterial SSU rRNA". It matches the Rfam family "Bacterial small subunit ribosomal RNA", at positions 19 to 518 of the family's 1533-position model. The record is from RNAcentral.